GAUAAGGUUAAGUGAAUAAGGGCGCACGGUGGAUGCCUUGGCACUAGGAGCCGAUGAAGGACGGGACUAACACCGAUAUGCUUUGGGGAGCUGUACGUAAGCUAUGAUCCAGAGAUUUCCGAAUGGGGGAACCCAGCAUCUUUAAUAGGAUGUUACGAUUGUGUGAAUACAUAGCACAUUCGAGGUAGACGCAGAGAACUGAAACAUCUAAGUACCUGCAGGAAGAGAAAGAAAAUUCGAUUCCCUGAGUAGCGGCGAGCGAAACGGGAAAAGCCCAAACCAGCAAGCUUGCUUGUUGGGGUUGUAGGACUCCAAUAUGGUAGUUCUUUCAGAUAGUCGAAUGACUUGGAAAAGUCAGUCAAAGAGGGUAAAAACCCCGUAGACGAAAUGUGGAAG
This 396-nucleotide ribosomal RNA is filed under the name Enterococcus faecium. Its description in RNAcentral is "bacterial LSU rRNA". It matches the Rfam family "Bacterial large subunit ribosomal RNA", at positions 1 to 392 of the family's 2925-position model. The record is from RNAcentral. Lineage: Bacteria; Bacillati; Bacillota; Bacilli; Lactobacillales; Enterococcaceae.